UACGGGGGGGGCAAGCGUUGUUCGGAAUUACUGGGCGUAAAGGGCGCGUAGGCGGUCAGACCAAGUCGAGUGGGAAAUUCCAGGGCUUAACUCUGGCGCGCUCGCUCGAUACUGGUCGGCUAGAGUGUGGAAGAGGAUGCUGGAAUUCCCGGUGUAGCGGUGAAAUGCGUAGAUAUCGGGAGGAACGCCAGUGGCGAAGGCGGGCAUCUGGGCCAACACUGACGCUGAGGCGCGAAAGCUAGGGGAGCAAACAGG
RNAcentral lists this ribosomal RNA (255 nucleotides) under uncultured bacterium. RNAcentral's name for it is "partial 16S ribosomal RNA". It matches the Rfam family "Bacterial small subunit ribosomal RNA", at positions 524 to 776 of the family's 1533-position model. The record is from RNAcentral.